ACGAGAAAAGAAUAAAAGAAGCCGGGCUGCUCACGGGCAUGGGCGCUGAGUGGGGAAGGGAAGGUGGCAGGCGUGUCCUCUCCUCUCUUCCGCUGCGGUCCAGCGGGGAGGAGGGACAGUCAGCCUCCAAGGCAAGAAAGAACAAAAUGGAAGUUUUAUCACAACUCUGCUUCCUUUUGGGUGCCCCCACCCUCCCUUAUUACUAGAGGUGAGAAAGCUGCUGAGCAGCUUUGGAAAGAGCAGGCUGCUGCUAGAAACUUUACAUGUUUCCAGAAAUGGAUCCUAGAAUCACAGAAGUACAAAGCUGCAAAGUACCACAGGGGAUCAUCUGUGCCCUCCUUUC
Molecule: long non-coding RNA, 343 nt
Organism: Passer montanus (Eurasian tree sparrow)
Lineage: Eukaryota; Metazoa; Chordata; Aves; Passeriformes; Passeridae
Exons: 3
Source: RefSeq, a predicted model, not a curated record